This 1447-nucleotide long non-coding RNA is filed under the name Mytilus galloprovincialis (Mediterranean mussel). Lineage: Eukaryota; Metazoa; Mollusca; Bivalvia; Mytilida; Mytilidae. The record is from RNAcentral.
CGUGUUUAACCAACUUAACCAACCAACCAACCAACCAAUCAAUCAAUCAAUGCAUGUUUCCGUUUCAUGUGUUAAAUACGGGAUCCAAGAUGGUUUUUUUUCGCUUGUUUAAAUUGAGCCUAUCUAACGUGUUUAACCAGCCAACGUGUUUAACCAGCCAACGUGUUUAACCAACAUGUUUAACCAACGUGUUUAACCAACUUACCAACCAACCAACCAACCAAUCAAUCAAUCAAUGCAUGUUUCCGUUUCAUGUGUUAAAUACGGGAUCCAAGAUGGUUUUUUUUCCGCUUGUUUAAAUUGAGCCUAUCUAACGUGUUUAACCAGCCAACGUGUUUAACCAACAUGUUUAACCAACGUGUUUAACCAACUUACCAACCAACCAACCAACCAACCAAUCAAUCAAUCAAUGCAUGUUUCCGUUUCAUGUGUUAAAUACGGGAUCCAAGAUGGUUUUUUUUCGCUUGUUUUAAAUUGAGCCUAUCUAACGUGUUUAACCAGCCAACGUGUUUAACCAACGUGUUUAACCAACUGUUUAACCAACCAACCAACCAACCAACCAACCAACCAACCAACCAAUCAAUCAAUCAAUGCAUGUUUCCGUUUCAUGUGUUAAAUACGGGAUCCAAGAUGUUUUUUUUUUCGCUUGUUUAAAUUGAGCCUAUCAAACGUGUUUAACCAUCCAACGUGUUUAACCAGCCAACGUGUUUAACCAACAUGUUUAACCAACCAACCAACCAACCAACCAACCAAUCAAUCAAUCAAUGCAUGUUUCCGUUUCAUGUGUUAAAUACGGGAUCCAAGAUGUUUUUUUUUCGCUUGUUUAAAUUGAGCCCAUCAAACGUGUUUAACCAGCCAACGUGUUUAACCAACGUGUUAAACCAACAUGUUUAACCAACGUGUUUAACCAACCAACCAACCAACCAACCAACCAACCAAUCAAUCACUUAAUGUAUGUUUCCGUGUCAUGCGUUUAAUACGGGAUGCAAGGUCUCUUGAGGUCUUUUUCCCCUUGUUCUAAGUGACCCUAUCAAACGUGUUUAAUCAACCAACCAACCAACCAACCAACCAACCAACCAAUCAAUCAACCAACUAAUCAAUCAAUCAAUAUGUAUGACUGUUUAUUUAUGACAGUUUAUUGAAGGAACAAACUCUCAAUUAUUCAAGAAAAUUUUUAUUUUAUUAUUGUUCUUACGUCUCUUCUGAAAAAAAAAUCCACAUAUUCUCUGAAACUACAAGUCCAAUCGACCUGAAAAUUUGCAGUCAGCAGGGCAUACAUGUACUGAAGGUUCAUAAAAAAAACUUUUUGCAGAUAUCUCUCAAGACUUUUCCUAGAAAAAAAGAAAUGGCAAUGCCAGUAAAAAUCGCUUGCUAGGUCCGUCAAUCUCAGUAAAAACCUACAAUAAAAUGUCCGCUCCGAGAUUGAAAUACUAAUCUGUGUUACAAA